This 179-nucleotide non-coding RNA is filed under the name uncultured Prevotella sp. The record is from RNAcentral. Lineage: Bacteria; Pseudomonadati; Bacteroidota; Bacteroidia; Bacteroidales; Prevotellaceae.
UCGGUUCACAAGGAAACGCGUGAUUAAAAGGGAACGGGGUGAGAAUCUCCGACAGUCCCGCUGCUGUGUGUAGUCUUACCGGUGCAGACAAGUCCUGCUUUAGGCAGGAAUCAAUGGCCACUGACAUUUUUUGGGAAGGCCGUCUGUACUGACUGCGAGCCAGAAGACCUGCCAUUGCC